Octopus sinensis (East Asian common octopus) is the source of this 1933-nucleotide long non-coding RNA. RefSeq lists it as uncharacterized. The transcript has 4 exons. The record is from RefSeq and is a predicted model, not a curated record. Lineage: Eukaryota; Metazoa; Mollusca; Cephalopoda; Octopoda; Octopodidae.
GUGAGGGUGUGAGGAUGAGUGAGUCUCAUUUCAGUGAUGACUGUGAGAGCUGUUAGCCGUCAGUAUUGAAAGCUAAUUCAGUGUUUGUGGACCUAUCGGAGAGGAUAUAGAUAUAUAUAUAUAUACAGAUACUAUCAUGUUUUAAUAUAUAUACACGCUCACAAACACACAUACGCAUAUAUAUUUACAUAAACAUACAUAUAUCUAUUUCUAUAUAUAUAUUUACACAGAAGCAUUACUAACUUAGACGCACGCACCUGCUUAACUAUCUAUCUAUCUAUCUAUCUAUCUAUUUAUAAGGGCAAACACAUACACAUAUAUAUAUAGACAAACGCACAUAUUCAUACACACACGUGCACAUACACACACACAUAUAUACUUAUAUACACACGCGUACACACACAUCACACAUUCAACUAACAUCUUGUGUGGACGUGUGGAGUUAAAACAUUUCGUGCACGGAUAAUAAUUGUAACCUACAACGACACUCGCGAGUAUAUAUACUCUGUAAACUGUAAUUACUAUUAUAUAGAUAUAUACACACACGCUCUUCGUUGUUGUUUGUAUAUAUAAUUAAACAUAUAUACAGAGGAAAUAAGCUAUAUGGAAACCAAAAUAUACACUCGUGCAUGGAAAAUCUACAUAUUAUAUUACUGAACGACGAGUGUGAUGCAUGAAGGAUUGCGUUUGGAUGAUUGGAAAUUCUAGCUGAGAUUUGAACCCGGUUCUAUAGCACAUCGACCUCACAUUCCUCCUUAUAUACUCCAAGAUGGUUUUAUUACCAAAUAGUCUGACGGCGGAUUGACGACAGACAUACUGGGUGUUCAGUCAGAAUGAGAGAAAUGAAUAAAAUACCUGUGUCCAAGGAAUCGGAAUUCAAAUUAACCAGAAUCAUUGAACGAACGUAUUAAAUUUCACGGUUCAAGACACGAAGAAUAGCAACAACAAAACAACAAAACGAAAAUAAGAAAAAAAUAUCGACAACGAAAGAAAAACGAAACUGAAUUCAGAAAGGACGUAAACGAAAGUACACAGAUCAAGAUUUCAAAUCACACAUGAAAAAGAAAAAAUACCUAUAUUUAUCCCGUGGAGAUUAAGGAAUUUACGUGAUUAAGAUGAGCAGCAAACCUGGAUAAUUUCAUUUAUAGAUCUGUUCUCUAUUUGAUAGAGAUCAGAGAGUGAGAGAGAGAAAGAGAGAGAGAGAGAGAGAGAAGUGUGAUUGGGAUUAGGGGUAAAGUGAGUGUGAUUAUAUCUAUAUAUAUGUAUAUAUAUGUACACAUACAUACAUGCAAAGGGAAAGAAGGAGAUAAGACGAAUUAGUGAGAAAAACAACAUAAAACGAGACAGAAGAAUUGAGAGUUUCUGUUUGUGAGAGGAAGGAAUUUCAGAGAGAAGAGUAAGGGGAAAAGAAUUAAGAAAUAAAGAGAAAAAUCGUAAGAUUGAGAAAGAGUGAAGAGAAAAGAAAAUAAGGAGAGCAAGGUUCAUUAUUAAGCAAGGGAGUGAGAGGCCAAGGCAUCUCAUUUCCCAGGCUCUUCUCCUUUCUUAAAAUAUGAAUUCCUUGAAAAGACCUGUCAGUGAUUAUGACAAAGAGACUAGUUAUGAUCUGUUGGAUAAACAGGUGUACACGUCAUUGACGGCAAACGGAUGUUGUCACCAUGACGACACUCCAUUAAAGACUACAACCAGUAAGAAGUGGACACCGUCUUUGUGCGGUUGUUUCCGUAGUAAACCCUUGGCGUCGUCAGACCCCAGAUGUAAUCACAAUGCGUGGGGUUGUCUUGUGGUUCUAGGAAGUUUCAUAACGCAUUUAAUUAUUGGUGGUUUAGAACGUUCCAAUGGAAUAAUUUACUUAAAAUUGGUCGAAGAAUUUGGUCGCAGUGCCGUAGAUACAGCAUGGGUCGUUUCCCUAAGUUCAACGGCGAAGUUAUUACUC